This 392-nucleotide ribosomal RNA is filed under the name uncultured bacterium. Its description in RNAcentral is "partial 16S ribosomal RNA". It matches the Rfam family "Bacterial small subunit ribosomal RNA", at positions 523 to 918 of the family's 1533-position model. The record is from RNAcentral.
AUACGGAGGACGCGAGCGUUAUCCGGAUUCAUUGGGUUUAAAGGGAGCGUAGGCGGGAGCUUAAGUCAGCGGUUAAAUGGUGCGGCUCAACCGUGCCCUGCCGUUGAAACUGGGUUUCUUGAGGGUGCAAGAGGCGGAUGGAAUUCCUGGGGUAGCGGUGUAAUGCUUAGAUAUCAUGAAGAACUCCGAUUGCGAAGGCAGUCCGCUGGGGCACGUCUGACGCUGAUGCUCGAAGGUGCGGGAAUCAAACAGGAUUAGAUACCCUGGUAGUCCGCACGGUAAACGAUGAUUACCCGCUGUCGGCGGCAGACAGUCGGCGGCCAAGCGAAAGCGAUAAGUAAUCCACCUGGGGAGUACGCCGGCAACGGUGAAACUCAAAGGAAUUGACGGGG